AGUGAACGCUGGCGGUAGGCCUAACACAUGCAAGUCGAACGGCAGCACAGUAAGAGCUUGCUCUUACGGGUGGCGAGUGGCGGACGGGUGAGGAAUACAUCGGAAUCUACUUUUUCGUGGGGGAUAACGUAGGGAAACUUACGCUAAUACCGCAUACGACCUACGGGUGAAAGCAGGGGAUCUUCGGACCUUGCGCGAUUGAAUGAGCCGAUGUCGGAUUAGCUAGUUGGCGGGGUAAAGGCCCACCAAGGCGACGAUCCGUAGCUGGUCUGAGAGGAUGAUCAGCCACACUAGAACUGAGACACGGUCCAGACUCCUAAGAGAGGCAGCAGUGGGGAAUAUUGGACAAUGGGCGCAAGCCUGAUCCAGCCAUACCGCGUGGGUGAAGAAGGCCUUCGGGUUGUAAAGCCCUUUUGUUGGGAAAGAAAAGCAGCAGGUUAAUACCCCGCUGUUCUGACGGUACCCAAAGAAUAAGCACCGGCUAACUUCGUG
RNAcentral lists this ribosomal RNA (492 nucleotides) under uncultured bacterium. RNAcentral's name for it is "partial 16S ribosomal RNA". It matches the Rfam family "Bacterial small subunit ribosomal RNA", at positions 29 to 507 of the family's 1533-position model. The record is from RNAcentral.